Molecule: long non-coding RNA, 219 nt
Filed under: Nicotiana benthamiana
Lineage: Eukaryota; Viridiplantae; Streptophyta; Magnoliopsida; Solanales; Solanaceae
Description: long non-coding RNA (NBEN_LNC014726)
Source: RNAcentral
CACAGUUUUGAUUGUUAUAGCAGCAACAUCAUUUUCAAAUAUUUAUGAAAAAGCUGGGCAAUAAACAAUUUUGUCUUUCUCCCCUAUAUGAAAAGAUUGUUGGGGUGGAAAUAUAGUAUUAACAAUAUUUCUGUUGGUGAGCUUAUACUCUCUUUCUAACACAGAAAUAUAGUUAUAAACAUGUUUAGGCAUAAACCAAGGGACAAAAGCAAUAAUUUU